UACGGAGGUCCCAAGCGUUAUCCGGAUUUAUUGGGUUUAAAGGGUGCGUAGGCGGGUUAUUAAGUCAGUGGUGAAAGCCUUCAGCUCAACUGAAGAACUGCCAUUGAUACUGAUGAUCUUGAGUACGAUUGAGGUAGGCGGAAUGUGUCAUGUAGCGGUGAAAUGCUUAGAUAUGACACAGAACACCGAUUGCGAAGGCAGCUGGCUACACGAAUAUUGACACUGAGGCACGAAAGCGUGGGGAUCAAACAGG
Molecule: ribosomal RNA, 253 nt
Filed under: uncultured bacterium
Lineage: Bacteria
Description: partial 16S ribosomal RNA
Rfam family: Bacterial small subunit ribosomal RNA
Source: RNAcentral